AACGAACGCUGGCGGCAGGCCUAAAACAUGCAAGUCGAACGCCCUAGCAAUAGGGAGUGGCGCACGGGUGAGUAACGCGUGGGAACGUGCCCUUCGGUACGGGACAACGUCGGGAAACUGACGCUAAUACCGUAUAAUAUCUCAGGAUCAAAGAUUUAUCGCUGAGGGAGCGGCCCGCGUCUGAUUAGCUAGUUGGUGAGGUAAUGGCUCACCAAGGCUACGAUCAGUAGCAGGUCUGAGAGGAUGAGCUGCCACACUGGGACUGAGACACGGCCCAGACUCCUACGGGAGGCAGCAGUUAGGAAUAUUGGACAAUGGGCGCAGGCCCGAUCCAGCCAUGCCGCGUGUGUGAAGAAGGCCUUCGGGUUGUAAACCGCUUUUGUCAGGGAAGAAAAGGUUCUGGUUAAUACCUGGGACUCAUGACGGUACCUGAAGAAUAAGCACCGGCUAACUACGUGCCAGCCGCCGCAGUAA
This 474-nucleotide ribosomal RNA is filed under the name uncultured bacterium. Its description in RNAcentral is "partial 16S ribosomal RNA". It matches the Rfam family "Bacterial small subunit ribosomal RNA", at positions 29 to 523 of the family's 1533-position model. The record is from RNAcentral.